GCGGCGGACGGGUGAGUAACACGUGGGUAACCUGCCCGUAAGACCGGGAUAACUCCGGGAAACCGGGGCUAAUACCGGAUAACACCGGGGGCCGCAUGGCUUCCGGUUGAAAGGCGGCCUUUGGCUGCCACUUACGGAUGGGCCCGCGGCGCAUUAGCUGGUUGGCGGGGUAACGGCCCACCAAGGCGACGAUGCGUAGCCGGCCUGANAGGGUGGACGGCCACACUGGGACUGAGACACGGCCCAGACUCCUACGGGAGGCAGCAGUAGGGAAUCUUCCGCAAUGGGCGAAAGCCUGACGGAGCGACGCCGCGUGAGCGAGGAAGGCCUUCGGGUCGUAAAGCUCUGUUGUCAGGGAAGAAGGCGCGCCGUUCGAACAGGGCGGCGCGGUGACGGUACCUGACGAGGAAGCCCCGGCUAACUACGUGCCACCAGCCGCGGUAAAAC
This 447-nucleotide ribosomal RNA is filed under the name Geobacillus sp. S44C022ANY. RNAcentral describes it as "bacterial SSU rRNA". It matches the Rfam family "Bacterial small subunit ribosomal RNA", at positions 95 to 526 of the family's 1533-position model. The record is from RNAcentral. Lineage: Bacteria; Bacillati; Bacillota; Bacilli; Caryophanales; Anoxybacillaceae.